AUUAAUUCGAUGCAACGCGAAGAACCUUACCAAGGCUUGACAUACACCGGAAAAGUGCAGAGAUGUGCUCCCCGCAAGGUCGGUGUACAGGUGGUGCAUGGUUGUCGUCAGCUCGUGUCGUGAGAUGUUGGGUUAAGUCCCGCAACGAGCGCAACCCUCGUCCUAUGUUGCCAGCGGGUUAUGCCGGGGACUCAUAGGAGACUGCCGGGGUCAACUCGGAGGAAGGUGGGGAUGACGUCAAAUCAUCAUGCCCCUUAUGUCUUGGGCUUUACGCAUGCUACAAUGGCCGGUACAAAGGGCUGCGAUACCGCGAGGUGGAGCGAAUCCCAAAAAGCCGGUCUCAGUUCGGAUUGGGGUCUGCAACUCGACCCCAUGAAGUCGGAGUCGCUAGUAAUCGCAGAUCAGCAACGCUGCGGUGAAUACGUUCCCGGGCAAUCUC
RNAcentral lists this ribosomal RNA (439 nucleotides) under uncultured Cellulomonadaceae bacterium. Its description in RNAcentral is "bacterial SSU rRNA". It matches the Rfam family "Bacterial small subunit ribosomal RNA", at positions 945 to 1379 of the family's 1533-position model. Lineage: Bacteria; Bacillati; Actinomycetota; Actinomycetes; Micrococcales; Cellulomonadaceae. The record is from RNAcentral.